RNAcentral lists this ribosomal RNA (253 nucleotides) under uncultured bacterium. Its description in RNAcentral is "partial 16S ribosomal RNA". It matches the Rfam family "Bacterial small subunit ribosomal RNA", at positions 524 to 776 of the family's 1533-position model. The record is from RNAcentral.
UACGAAGGGGGCUAGCGUUGCUCGGAAUCACUGGGCGUAAAGCGCACGUAGGCGGCCUACUAAGUCAGGGGUGAAAUCCUGGAGCUCAACUCCAGAACUGCCUUUGAUACUGGUGGGCUUGAGUCCGGGAGGGGUGAGUGGAACUGCGAGUGUAGAGGUGAAAUUCGUAGAUAUUCGCAAGAACACCAGUGGCGAAGGCGGCUCACUGGCCCGGUACUGACGCUGAGGUGCGAAAGCGUGGGGAGCAAACAGG